This 253-nucleotide ribosomal RNA is filed under the name uncultured bacterium. RNAcentral describes it as "partial 16S ribosomal RNA". It matches the Rfam family "Bacterial small subunit ribosomal RNA", at positions 524 to 776 of the family's 1533-position model. The record is from RNAcentral.
UACGGGGGGGGUAAGCGUUGUUCGGAAUUACUGGGCGUAAAGGGCUCGUAGGCGGCCAACUAAGUCGGACGUGAAAUCCCUCAGCUUAACUGGGGAACUGCGUCCGAUACUGGAUGGCUUGGAUUUGGGAGAGGGAUGCGGAAUUCCAGGUGUAGCGGUGAAAUGCGUAGAUAUCUGGAGGAACACCGGUGGCGAAGGCGGCAUCCUGGACCAAUAUUGACGCCGAGGAGCGAAAGCCAGGGGAGCAAACGGG